AUGCGUCCAGUGGCUGAGGUGGGUGGAAGUGCCUGGAAAUACCCUGAAAAAGCUUUAGAAGCGUGUCAGUGUCUGGGCUUGAAAUUUUGGAUUGUUGAGAAUAGUCUUCUUUUUCUUUUUCUUUUUCUUUUUCUUUUUCUUUUUCUUUUUCUUUUUCUUUUUCUUUUUCUUUUUCUUUUUCUUUUUCUUUUUCUUUUUCUUUUUCUUUUUCUUUUUCUUUUUCUUUUUCUUUUUCUUUUUCUUUUUCUUUUUCUUUUUCUUCUUUUCCUUUUCCUUUUCCUUCUUUCUUCUUCUCCUUCUUCUUCUUCUUCUCCUUCUUCUCCUUCUUCUCCUUCUUCUCCUUCUUCUUCUUCUUCUUCUUCUUCUUCUUUUUCCUUCUUCUUCUCUCUCUCUCUCUCUUUCAAAAUAUUUUGCCUAAGGCUGAAAACUGGAAUGUUUUUUAGAAUAUAUAAACCGACUUCCUUGCUUCACUUUGUCAGCCCGUUAGCACAGGCAGAGCAGCUGAUGGCUCCCUUUAUAAGAGGCAGCUGGUCCCAGGGGGGUUUGAUCUCCCCAUACAGCUCUGGGAAUUCGCCGUUGGCAUCCAUCCCCUCGGUGGCAGCCCCGGUUUUAAUCGGUGUGUCCCAAACACCGGGGGACAUUGCUGUGCAAGGAAUGGGGCCUCGGACUGGUCCCCCCCAGGCUUUCAGCCUGUCCCCGUCCUACCCACCAGCAGCUCAGAGGGGUGCCCGUAGCAUCAGGAGCCACCCCAAAAAGCAGCCCCAUGUCUCGAGGCUGUUCGUGACCCGGGGUGAGGACCCCAAAUGUCCUCGUCACAGCAGCUGGAGCAGAGAUGGGCAGACCCUGGGCUCCUGCCGGCCCUUCGGCUGCUGGCUGGAGUUCAGGGCUUUGAAACUGAAGCCCCGAGCUGUGGGGUGCCCCCACCCCAUCCCUCGCCCACCCUUCCCUCCUCCUCAGCCCGGGUCCCAGCAGAGGAGGAAACCUGAGCCCACGGCUAAAGGCAUCCCAAGCAUCGCCCGCGCUGCGGACACCGAGCCCUUGGGUCCCCAGGGCAGGGCUGCAGGGAAUGCAGCGCCUUUGUCACCGGCUAAAUUUGGCUCCUCUGCGGCAGAGAACAAUCCCAGGCGGAGGAGAGAUGCUGGAGGCACGGCCCCGCGGGGCUUUUUGCCUUAUAAAGGGCUGCAGCGCAGGGGGCAGAUCCAGCGCUGGACCUCUGCGUGCUGGGACCAGAGCAGGUGA
Molecule: long non-coding RNA, 1239 nt
Filed under: Anser cygnoides (Swan goose)
Lineage: Eukaryota; Metazoa; Chordata; Aves; Anseriformes; Anatidae
Description: lncRNA (ENSACDG00005001954.1)
Source: RNAcentral